This 524-nucleotide ribosomal RNA is filed under the name uncultured Glomus. RNAcentral's name for it is "SSU rRNA". It matches the Rfam family "Eukaryotic small subunit ribosomal RNA", at positions 569 to 1093 of the family's 1831-position model. The record is from RNAcentral. Lineage: Eukaryota; Fungi; Glomeromycota; Glomeromycetes; Glomerales; Glomeraceae.
AGCAGCCGCGGUAAUUCCAGCUCCAAUAGCGUAUAUUAAAGUUGUUGCAGUUAAAAAGCUCGUAGUUGAAUUUCGGGGUUAGUAGGUUGGUCAUGCCUCUGGUAUGUACUGGUCUCACUGAUUCCUCCUUCCUGAUGAACCGUAAUGCCAUUAAUUUGGUGUUGCGGGGAAUUUGGACUGUUACUUUGAAAAAAUUAGAGUGUUUAAAGCAAGCUAACGCUUGAAUACAUUAGCAUGGAAUAAUGAAAUAGGACGUUCGAUCCUAUUUUGUUGGUUUCUAGGAUUGACGUAAUGAUUAAUAGGGAUAGUUGGGGGCAUUAGUAUUCAAUUGUCAGAGGUGAAAUUCUUGGAUUUAUUGAAGACUAACUACUGCGAAAGCAUUUGCCAAGGAUGUUUUCAUUAAUCAAGAACGAAAGUUAGGGGAUCGAAGACGAUCAGAUACCGUCGUAGUCUUAAACCAUAAACUACGCCGACUAGGGAUCGGAUGAUGUUAAUUUUUUAAUGACUCGUUCGGCGCCUUACGG